Molecule: ribosomal RNA, 494 nt
Filed under: uncultured bacterium
Lineage: Bacteria
Description: bacterial SSU rRNA
Rfam family: Bacterial small subunit ribosomal RNA
Source: RNAcentral
GGACUUGCACAAGCGGAGGAUCAUGUGGUUUAAUUCGAUGGUAAACGAAGAACCUUACCAGGGUUAGAAAUCUAGUUGAAGACAAGCAGAAACGUUUGUCGCCGCAAGGCAAUUAGACAGGUGCUGCAUGGCCGUCGUCAGUUCGUGGUUUGAAUUGUUCCCUUCAGUGGGGUAACGAACGCAACCCUCAUUGCCUGUUACAAGUGUCAGGUGAGACUGCCCAGCUUUUUGCUCAUACAGUCCAUUAAAUUGGAUUUGUGAUCAGGAAGCUGGGAGGAAGGUGAGGAUGACGCCAGGUCAGCAUGGCCCUUUGAUACCCUGGGCUACACACGUGAUACAAUGGUACCUACAACGCGAUGCGACGAGGAGACUCUGAGCUAAUCGUAAGAAAGGGUACCUAAGUUCGGAUAGGAGUCUGCAACUCGACUCCUUGAAGUUGGAUUCGCUAGUAAUCUCGGGUCAGCUAUACCGAGGUGAAUACGUUCUCAAGUCUU